UGAUCCUGCCGGAGGCUACCGCUAUUGGAGUUCGAUUAAGCCAUGCGAGUCGAGAGUCUUAGGGACUCGGCGUACCGCUCAGUAACACGUGGGUAACCUGCCCUAUGCUGGGUCUAGUAAGAAUAACCUCGGGAAACUGAGAAUAAUACCCCAUAGUUCACCACGCCUGGAACGGUGGGUGGAUGAAAGCUCCGGCGGCAUAGGAUGGGCCUGCGACGUAUCAGGUUGUAGGGGGUGUAACGUACCCUCUAGCCAUCAACGCGUACGGGUGUUGGGAGACAUAGCCCGGAGAUGGAUUCUGAGACACGAAUCCAGACCCUACGGGGUGCAGCAGGCGCGAAAACUUGGCAAUGCGAGCAAUCGUGACCAGGGAACUCCAAGUGGCUGGGGUAAUACCCAGUUUUUUCUUGACUCUUCAAAGGUCUUGGAAUAAGGGGUGGGUAAGGACGGUGCCAGCCGCCGCGGUAAUACCGGCGCCUCAAGUGGUAGUCGCUUUUAUUGGGCCUAAAACGUCCGUAGCCGGUCUGGUGCAUUCGUGGGUAAAUCAACCCGCUCAACGGGUUGAAUUCUGCGAGCACGGCCAGACUUGGGACCGGGAGAGGUGUGGGGUACUCUCAGGGUAGGGGUAAAAUCCUGUCAUCCUGAGAGGACCACCUGUUGCGAAGGCGCCACACUAGAACGGAUUCGACGGUCAGGGACGAAACCUAGGGGCACGAACCGGAUUAGAUACCCGGGUAGUCCUAGGUGUAAACGCUGUGGACUUG
This 764-nucleotide ribosomal RNA is filed under the name uncultured Candidatus Poseidoniales archaeon. RNAcentral describes it as "bacterial SSU rRNA". It matches the Rfam family "Archaeal small subunit ribosomal RNA", at positions 9 to 770 of the family's 1478-position model. Lineage: Archaea; Methanobacteriati; Thermoplasmatota; Candidatus Poseidoniia; Candidatus Poseidoniales. The record is from RNAcentral.